AGCCACCCUCCGCUUCCUUGAUGCCCACCCGGUAGCGUCCAACGGCUCCACGAAGUAGAGAUCUUUUUCGCUCCCAGGCCUUGCCAGGCGAUGCCUCUACGCCCCACUUCGAGAACUCCCUAAGCAUCUCCCUCACGCAUUCCAGGGGCUAAGGACUACCAGGGUGGGAACUAGCGGAGAAAGCUGAUACCUCACCCACCACCGAGCAGCCACAGGGC
This 218-nucleotide long non-coding RNA is filed under the name Homo sapiens (human). Its description in RNAcentral is "HSALNT0176277". The record is from RNAcentral. Lineage: Eukaryota; Metazoa; Chordata; Mammalia; Primates; Hominidae.